Molecule: non-coding RNA, 401 nt
Organism: Paramuricea clavata
Lineage: Eukaryota; Metazoa; Cnidaria; Anthozoa; Malacalcyonacea; Plexauridae
Source: the annotation of a GenBank genome assembly
CGCUUAAAUAAUUGAUUUUUCUUCUCGUUUUUGUCCAUUGUUUAUUUUUAUUUUGUUCUCAAAACAAUUUAAAGCUACAAAAUUUAAAUGCCACAAAGCCCCAUUUGUAAACAAUUAUUUAAAUCUCGCGCUAUUUGGCGGCAAUGUAUGUGUGCUUCCGGUCUUGUACUUAUAUGGACAUAUGAGUCACAGAAUAAAGAAAUGUAAAAAGAUAUGUAGUAUUUGUGUAUGAGUGCGGCAUAUAUUUAUAAGUAAUCACCACAUUUACUUUACGAUUCAGUUUAUUCAGUUGCAGCGAAUUAAAAAACACUUAUUUUUACCAAAGUCUAACUGUUGAUACAGUUACAUGACAGUGAUGUUAGAUUAUUAACUCAGUAAAGCGAAGAAAUGUGAGAAUGAAA